ACUAACACCCAUAUUACUCUGCAGCCAAAGAUUGGUCACUCACUGAAGCUAAGCAGGACUGAGUCUGGUCAGUACCUUAAUGGGAGACCACAUGGUAAAAUAAGGUUGCUGUUGGAA
This 117-nucleotide ribosomal RNA is filed under the name Danio rerio (zebrafish). Lineage: Eukaryota; Metazoa; Chordata; Actinopteri; Cypriniformes; Danionidae. The record is from RNAcentral.